GGCUUUUUGAUUAUAAUUUAAAGUCUGGCCUGCUCUAUGAAAAUAUUUAAAUGGCCGCGGUAUAUUAACCGUGCAAAGGUAGCAUAAUCAUUAGUUUUUUAAUUAAAAGCUGGUAUGAAAGGUUUGAUGAAAAAAUAACUGUCUCUAGAUAAAUUUAGUUAAAAUUUUAUUUUUAAGUUAAAAAGCUUAAAUAUUUAUAAAAGACGAGAAGACCCUAUAGAGUUUUAUAUUUAUUUAUUUAAAUUAUUUUAGUAUUUAAAAAUUUUAUUAGAAUAAGUAUUUAAUUGGGGUGAUUUAAAAAUUUAUUAAACUUUUUAUGUAUUAAAACAUUUAUUUAUGAUUAUAUAAUCUUUUAUUAAGAAAUUAAGAAAAAAUUACCUUAGGGAUAACAGCGUAAUUUUCUUAGAGAGUUCAAAUUGAAAAGAAAGAUUGCGACCUCGAUGUUGGAUUAAAGUUUAUUUUUGGUGUAGAAGCUUAUGUAUUAGGUCUGUUCGACCUUUAAAACUUUACAUGAUCUGAGUUUAAACCGGUGUAAG
RNAcentral lists this ribosomal RNA (536 nucleotides) under Otibazo sp. ARC2572. Its description in RNAcentral is "partial 16S large subunit ribosomal RNA". The stretch from base 385 to 536 matches the Rfam family "Bacterial large subunit ribosomal RNA", at positions 2473 to 2625 of the family's 2925-position model. The record is from RNAcentral. Lineage: Eukaryota; Metazoa; Arthropoda; Insecta; Coleoptera; Curculionidae.